GGGGUUGUAGCUCAUUGGUAGAGCGCUUGCCUUGCACACAUGAGGUCCUGGGUUCAAUCCUCAGCACCA
This 69-nucleotide transfer RNA is filed under the name Ictidomys tridecemlineatus (thirteen-lined ground squirrel). RNAcentral describes it as "Spermophilus tridecemlineatus (thirteen-lined ground squirrel) tRNA". It matches the Rfam family "tRNA". Rfam says of the family: Transfer RNA (tRNA) molecules are approximately 80 nucleotides in length. Lineage: Eukaryota; Metazoa; Chordata; Mammalia; Rodentia; Sciuridae. The record is from Rfam by way of RNAcentral.